GAAGAAAAUGACUGUACCCGAAUAAGAAGGUCCGGCUAACUUCGUGCCAGCAGCCGCGGUAAUACGAAGGGACCUAGCGUAGUUCGGAAUUACUGGGCUUAAAGAGUUCGUAGGUUGUUAAAAAAGUUGGUGGUGAAAUCCCAGAGCUUAACUCUGGAACUGCCAUCAAAACUUUUUAGCUAGAGUAUGAUAGAGGAAAGUAGAAUUUCUAGUGUAGAGGUGAAAUUCGUAGAUAUUAGAAAGAAUACCAAUUGCGAAGGCAGCUUUCUGGAUCAUUACUGACACUGAGGAACGAAAGCAUGGGUAGCGAAGAGGAUUAGAUACCCUCGUAGUCCAUGCCGUAAACGAUGUGUGUUAGACGUUGGAAAUUUAUUUUCAGUGUCGCAGCGAAAGCAUUAAACACACCGCCUGGGGAGUACGACCGCAAGGUUAAAACUCAAAUGAAUUGACGGGGACCCGCACAAGUAGUGGAGCAUGUGGUUUAAUUCGAAGAUACGCGCAGAACCUUACCAACACUUGACAUGUUCGUCGCGACUUUAAGAGAUUAAAGUUUUCGGUUCGGCCGGACGAAACACAGGUGCUGCAUGGCUGUCGUCAGCUCGUGUCGUGAGAUGUUGGGUUAAGUCCCGCAACGAGCGCAACCCUCACUUUUAGUUGCCAUCAUUUAGUUGGGCACUCUGAAAGAACUGCCAGUGAUAAGCUGGAGGAAGGUGGGGAUGACGUCAAGUCCUCAUGGCCCUUACGUGUUGGGCUACACACGUGCUACAAUGGCAUUUACAAUAGGAAGCAAGAUGGCGACGUCAAGCAAAUCCUAAAAAGAUGCCUCAGUUCGGAUUGUACUCUGCCACUCGAGUACAUGAAGCUGGAAUUACUAGUAAUCGCGGAUCAGCGCGCCGCGGUGAAUACGUUCCCGGGGUCUGUACACACCGCCCGUCACA
This 938-nucleotide ribosomal RNA is filed under the name marine metagenome. RNAcentral describes it as "bacterial SSU rRNA". It matches the Rfam family "Bacterial small subunit ribosomal RNA", at positions 462 to 1401 of the family's 1533-position model. The record is from RNAcentral.